GAUGAAGAACGUAGUGAAAUGCGAUAAGUAGUGUGAAUUGCAGAAUUCAGUGAAUCAUCGAAUCUUUGAACGCACAUUGCGCCUCCUGGUAUUCCGGGAGGCAUGCCUGUUCGAGCGUCAUUAAAAUCACUCAAGCUUAGGUUUGCCUAUUGCUUGGUCUUGAAGAUGGAAGCUAAGUAAUUAGAAUCCUCUUCGAAAUCCAAUGGCGAAGACCCUUGCUCUCCCAAGUGUAGUAAUAACUUAUUCACUGAAGGAAGCGAGUAAUCUUCCGCCGUAACCCCCAUAUUUUCUAUGAUUGACCUCGGAUCAGGUAGGGAUACCCGCUGAACUUAAGCAUAUCAAUAAGCGGAGGA
Molecule: unclassified non-coding RNA, 353 nt
Filed under: soil metagenome
Description: partial contains 5.8S ribosomal RNA, internal transcribed spacer 2, and large subunit ribosomal RNA
Rfam family: 5.8S ribosomal RNA (bases 1-120)
Source: RNAcentral